Molecule: ribosomal RNA, 253 nt
Filed under: uncultured bacterium
Lineage: Bacteria
Description: partial 16S ribosomal RNA
Rfam family: Bacterial small subunit ribosomal RNA
Source: RNAcentral
UACGAAGGGUGCAAGCGUUACUCGGAAUUACUGGGCGUAAAGCGUGCGUAGGUGGUGCGUUAAGUCUGUCGUGAAAGCCCCGGGCUCAACCUGGGAAUGGCGAUGGAUACUGGCGCGCUAGAGUGCGGUAGAGGAGAGUGGAAUUCCCGGUGUAGCAGUGAAAUGCGUAGAGAUCCGGAGGAACACCGACGGCGCAGGCAGCGUCCUGGCCGCUUGCUGACACUGAGGCACGAAAGCUGGGGGAGCAAACAGG